This 497-nucleotide ribosomal RNA is filed under the name uncultured bacterium. Its description in RNAcentral is "partial 16S ribosomal RNA". It matches the Rfam family "Bacterial small subunit ribosomal RNA", at positions 28 to 507 of the family's 1533-position model. The record is from RNAcentral.
GAUGAACGCUGGCGGCGUGCCUAAUACAUGCAAGUCGAGCGAAAAGACGAGGAGCUUGCUCCCCUGACGUUGGCGGCGGGCGGGUGAGUAACACGUGGAUAACCAACUUCUUUGACGGGGAUAACUUCGGGAAACAGGAGCUAAUAAUAGCUCAUAUAUUCAACCGCAUGAAGCAAUAGUUCAUGACAGUUUUGCUGUCACAUAUAGACGGUUCCGGGCCGCAUUAGCUAGUUGGUAAGGUAACGGCCUACCAAGGCGACGAUGCGUAGCCGAGCUGAGAGGGUGAUCGGCCACACUGGAACUGAGACACGGUCCAGACUCCUACGGGAGGCAGCAGUAGGGAAUCUUCCGCAAUGGGCGAAAGCCUGACGGAGCAACACCGCGUGAGUGAUGAAGGUCUUCGGAUCGUAAAGCUCUGUUAUUAGGGAAGAACAAAUGUGUAAGUAACUAUGCACGUCUUGACGGUACCUAAACAGAAAGCCACGGCUAACUACGUG